RNAcentral lists this ribosomal RNA (430 nucleotides) under Pseudomonadota bacterium. RNAcentral's name for it is "Proteobacteria bacterium partial 16S ribosomal RNA". It matches the Rfam family "Bacterial small subunit ribosomal RNA", at positions 355 to 776 of the family's 1533-position model. The record is from RNAcentral. Lineage: Bacteria; Pseudomonadati; Pseudomonadota.
UGGGGAAUAUUGGACAAUGGGGGGAACCCUGAUCCAGCCAUGCCGCGUGUGUGAAGAAGGCCUUAUGGUUGUAAAGCACUUUAAGCGAGGAGGAGGGUACUGGUAUUAAUACUACCAGGUACUGGACGUUACUCGCAGAAUAAGCACCCGCUAACUCUGUGCCAGCAGCCGCGGUAAUACAGAGGGUGCAAGCGUUAAUCGGAAUUACUGGGCGUAAAGCGCGCGUAGGUGGUUCGUUAAGUUGAAUGUGAAAGCCCCGGGCUCAACCUGGGAACUGCAUCCAAAACUGGCGAGCUAGAGUAGGGCAGAGGGUGGUGGAAUUUCCUGUGUAGCGGUGAAAUGCGUAGAUAUAGGAAGGAACACCAGUGGCGAAGGCGACCACCUGGGCUCAUACUGACACUGAGGUGCGAAAGCGUGGGGAGCAAACAGG